AGUGAACGCUGGCGGUAGGCCUAACACAUGCAAGUCGAACGGCAGCACAGAGGAGCUUGCUCCUUGGGUGGCGAGUGGCGGACGGGUGAGGAAUACAUCGGAAUCUACUCUGUCGUGGGGGAUAACGUAGGGAAACUUACGCUAAUACCGCAUACGACCUACGGGUGAAAGCAGGGGAUCUUCGGACCUUGCGCGAUUGAAUGAGCCGAUGUCGGAUUAGCUAGUUGGCGGGGUAAAGGCCCACCAAGGCGACGAUCCGUAGCUGGUCUGAGAGGAUGAUCAGCCACACUGGAACUGAGACACGGUCCAGACUCCUACGGGAGGCAGCAGUGGGGAAUAUUGGACAAUGGGCGCAAGCCUGAUCCAGCCAUACCGCGUGGGUGAAGAAGGCCUUCGGGUUGUAAAGCCCUUUUGUUGGGAAAGAAAUCCAUCUGGUUAAUACCCGGGUGGGAUGACGGUACCCAAAGAAUAAGCACCGGCUAACUUCGUGCCAGCCGCCGUAACAC
This 506-nucleotide ribosomal RNA is filed under the name uncultured bacterium. RNAcentral's name for it is "partial 16S ribosomal RNA". It matches the Rfam family "Bacterial small subunit ribosomal RNA", at positions 29 to 526 of the family's 1533-position model. The record is from RNAcentral.